This 601-nucleotide ribosomal RNA is filed under the name Lichtheimia corymbifera. RNAcentral describes it as "eukaryotic LSU rRNA". It matches the Rfam family "Eukaryotic large subunit ribosomal RNA", at positions 107 to 637 of the family's 3401-position model. The record is from RNAcentral. Lineage: Eukaryota; Fungi; Mucoromycota; Mucoromycetes; Mucorales; Lichtheimiaceae.
GCUCAAAGUUGGAACCUGGCUGUCYUAGAUAGUCCGGAUUGUAAACUAAAGAGCGUGAAUCCAGGCAAGCCGGUUGAUCAAGUCCUUUGGAAUGAGGCGCCACUGAGGGUGAGAGCCCCGUAAAUCGACUGAGCAUUUGUCUUUUGUGUUUCGCGUUCAAAGAGUCAGGUUGUUUGGGAAUGCAGCCUAAAGCUGGUGGUAAAUCCCACCUAAAGCUAAAUACAGGCGAGAGACCGAUAGCGAACAAGUACCGUGAGGGAAAGAUGAAAAGUACUUUGAAAAGAGAGUUAAACAGUAUGUGAAAUUGCCAAGAGGGAAGCAUUUGGAGUUAGACUGACUUGAAGUUAAUCAGCUUGGUCUUUGGACUGGGUGUACUUGACUUCUAUGUCUGCCAAUAGCAGUUAGUCCUGGUGGAAAAAACUGAAGGGAAGGUAGUCCUUCGGGAUGUUUAUAGACCUUUGGAAAAUACACUGGGAUUGACUGAGGAAUGCAGUAGAUGCUAUUAAGGCUUCGUCUAGUAGGUGUUAGGUGAAGGUACUUGGUAUUUUCAGCUUGCUGAUGUGCUAGGUUACUUGAGCUUAAUUGCUUGCUAGAACUGUAA